AAUUGUUUUUUCUUUCAUUUCUCUCUGUGCACCUCUAUGAAGAAUCCUGAGAGGGAGAGAAACGUGCUGCCACAGGUUGGGGAUUGGCUGUGAGCUGGGCUGUUUCUUUACAUCUUCAGAAAUGGAAAAUCAGGUGGUUUGUGAGCUGGUGGUGCUGCUGCCUGGCUGAGAGCUGUCCUGAGGAUAAGGAUGCUGUGCUUUGCCAGAGCACAAAUUAAGCUCUUGCUUUAACACUUGGCCUUUUUUUGAAAUCUCCACUUUCCAGCCAGCUACAGCAGCUCAGGGCUUCAUGGGCCUUUUCCAAACAGCCUGUGCGUGAUAGCAAAGAAAAAUAAACUUUGGUUCCCUGUGUGCUGAUCCUCACAUGCACUGGGAAGAGGCUGAGGAAUCACCAGAGUGGAGCUGCUGAGAGCUGGCCUCUGUUAGCAGCUAGUCAGAAACAGCAACCCUGAGUUUGAAGGGCACAGACACUGCCCAGAGUGCUCAUUGUUAACACCAAAAUGUUGGAUUUUGAUGCUGCAGCAAAGGAGGUUAUGCCACAUAAGACACCCAAGUCUGUGAAAGUCACGGGGGUUUUAUCUGAUCUUUUUGCAUGAUCUCUUUGCCUUGUUUCUUCUAAAGCAGAAAUCACCUGCCUGAGGAGUCUGGGCUGGUCAGAGGUUUGAGAUCCAUCCACAGUGUUGGGUAAAAUUUGUGGUAGCAUUUACAACUGUAUUUGCUGAUUUUAUCUGUUCAUCUUUUCACGUUCUCCUGUAUUUAAUGAGAGGUUUGUUUUGGGUUUUUGUUUUUUUUUCUGAGAUAAAAUUUCAGAUUUAUCUGAAACAAAGGAGCAAGUCCUUGUGAAAGGGAUUCAUUCCUCCCCAUCAGAGCUGGGUUCCAGACUCAGAGAUUAUUUAAACUGUUUUCACUCAUUCACCUUGGAGCAUUCCCAUAGGAUUUUUAACCUCUGAGCAUGUUUCCUUUCAUCAGCAGGGAUUGCAGAAGUCUGCAAUGACUUUUUCUCCUUUGGUGCAAAAGUUAAACAUGAAUUUAUGAUGUGAUUGCGCCGAGAUUUCAGAACUGUGCUGCAAAAAUCGAAGUUGCUGUGAUCUUACCUGCCUGGAGAUUACAGGCAAAUAACACUUGCUAAACACCCCAUACCUGAGAUGAUAUAUUGAGCUCCUGAGUAUUUUUAUUAAGCUGUUCUGAAAUUAUUCCCAAAGGAUGCAAACCUCGGCUUAGCUACAACUGCUACCCACAGUCUUUAAAGAACAUUCUGAAACCUUUUUGCUAAACAAUCUGCUCAGCUGUUACCAAGUUUUACCCAAUAUUCAAAUGACACUUCUUCCUUUUCAACCCUUGCCAAGCUGAGGUUAUUAAGAAAGAGAUACAAAUUAAAAGGAUUAAAAAUGCAACUCUAAUUAAACACAUAUGAGCAGUUAAAAGUCAGCUCUGCCCUGGUUAUCUGUGCACGCAGAAAUAUCACACACAACUUAAAACAGCCAAAAGUCUCCAUUAAGAGCUUGCUGAAGGCACCACCAGGGUAAUAACACACUGUGCCUUCUCUGCAGCUUCCUCUGGGUAGAACUUGAAAUAUUUUUUAGGAUGAGAUGAGCCAUUGCUCUCCCCACUUGCAAAGAAGAAGCAGCUGAGGGUGGGAGGAAGGAGAGGAGCAUCCUCCCCUUGCAGCCUCCCUGAGCUUGAGCUGCCUGAGCCCAUCCAUGGAGAGGAGCUCUGGUUGUCCCCAAAAACUGUGGGGGUGGCUCACCUUUCCCAGCAAACCUGGGGUUUCUUUUCAGAAGAAUGUGCAACAAAAACACAUCGAGCCACGCUGAAUUUCUAUGACGAAAGUGAGUUGGUAUCUCUUAAAUAAAGUAUCCAAACAAGCCCUUGAAGACACAUAAUCACCAAGCAGCAUCUGUGAUCACAGCUCGGCGUUUUAAAGGAUUAGGGGGGGAUUAGGACGUUUGUAAAUUCCUCACCAACCUUUUGUACAGGCAGGAUGGAAUAUUUUUUAAAGAAUUCAGGGACUGUCUGUUAAAAGCCUUUAUUCCCCUGAUUUGUGCUGGGUGUGGACAGCUUUGGGAUUUUUUAAAAGGUAGCAUAACAUGGCUCAUCAAUCUAGGCUGCAUAUAAAUCCUGCUUUGUAUGAUUCCUAAUCAGUUUUGAGGGCUUUCUGCUCCUCAUGAAGAAUGGAAAAACCCCUCCUUGCACUGGAGAAUAACAGGUCCUUUCAUUCUGCUGCUGGUUAAACACCCCACCCAAGGGAAGGAUAUCACCUAGGGGAAAAAGGGGAGCAGGGUUUGAGCCCCAAGAAGUGUUCCAGAAAAACCUCUCAUGUUCUGGUCCUUGUGGGCCCCACGUAUCAUGAUUGGCUUGAACAUUCACAGGAAAUAAUCAGGGUUCACCAGACAGGAUAACAGGAUUUUCCUGCUCUUUGUGGGGUGGGAGAAGAAGCUGGACAGGGAAGGAGAGGAACACCCUGCCCCGUGCCUGCAUCCAGGUGAGGUGAGCUGGCAUCCUUUGGAUGCACUGAGGAUGAGGCAGGGAUGUUCAGAGCAUCCCUUGGGCCAAAGGAAUAGGAAAUAAUACAUUAAAAAAAAAAUCUGUUUGCUUGAAUGGUUCAUUCUUCCACAUUCCUUUUGGCUGUUGUCAUCUUCUCCCCAAAGCUGCUGAGGGUGGAAUUCCUGUGCUGCCCAGCUCUGCCUGUAGCUCCCAGCAAGGUGCAGCAAUCCUUGCCUGCCUGCAGAUUUGCCAAGGACAGGGCAACAAGAACAGCCUGCAAACUGUGGGCUGAGCUUUUAGCUAAUUUUUGUUUUCCAAACAAAAAAAAAAGUCUGAAUGUUCAAAGCUCUGCAACUGAUAUUUCCUCUAUAAUUUUAUCACUUUUUCUUCAGCCUAAAGCUAAUCUUGAACAUGAAAUCUGCUUCUUGUGUGUGAUCUCCUGCUCACCUGGAGACACCUCAGAGCUCUGACCCUCGAGGUCUUCAUGGACUGAUGAAUAUUUCUGGACACCUCCUUAGGAGGAGGAAGACAUUUAAAGCUGCUUGCACUGUGUUGCCUGGUGGUGUCUGGACUGUGGCUCUUAAAUCCCAGGAAGCCCAGAAAUGCAGAUACCUGAAAUGCUGCCUGAAUUUACAUUUGAACUGAAGCACCCUGAGUCAUAUUGCCUCUGUUUUGUGGGGUUUUAUUAGAAGAAAAAUCACCCGGACAUGCCAAACCUGUGUCCCUCUGCAACCCCACCUGCAUGAAAUCACCUGAACGUGGAUAAGAGGCUUCAAACCAGUGUGAAUUCUUUCACCUCGGAGUGCUACAGGAAUUGUCACAAAUAAUUUCACAUGGAAGAAAUAAAUCUGUUAAAAAACCA
Long non-coding RNA from Taeniopygia guttata (zebra finch), 3346 nucleotides. RefSeq lists it as uncharacterized. The record is from RefSeq and is a predicted model, not a curated record. NCBI's taxonomy places the organism in Eukaryota, Metazoa, Chordata, Aves, Passeriformes, Estrildidae.